Molecule: long non-coding RNA, 3586 nt
Filed under: Homo sapiens (human)
Lineage: Eukaryota; Metazoa; Chordata; Mammalia; Primates; Hominidae
Description: PCBP3 antisense RNA 1 (PCBP3-AS1)
Source: RNAcentral
AUGACCAGCAGGCCUGGCUACAGGCAGCAAGCACCAAACCCCAUUCCAGAUGCCAGGAAAGGCACACACAGGCCUGGCGCAGGUGGGCUGUCUUCUGGCCGCUCCCUGGGUGGACUGGUCUUGGAGACUGGACGGAGUGCUCAAUGUCAGGAGGAAGCCACGACUCACUCACUGGAGAACACGAGAGACAGCCGGCGCCGCCCCGAGGAGUGAGCGGAGGAUCUGCCUGGAGCUAGCCAGCCUCAUGGCCUGGACAGACACCUCAGUGAGCCUGUGAUCAGGGCCCUCGGAGCAGAGCCAGCUGCAGGGAGGCAAGUCAGGAGGCCUUUCCUUGAGGCCAGGAGAGAAGAACAAGCCAGCAGGAGGGCAGGACAGACUCCAGAGACACUCGUUGAGAAAACUGGCUUCAGCUCCAGAGUGGGGGGCAGAGGGGCUGCUCCGCCUGGGCAGCGUGGGGACUGCUGCCGGCCGGGAAGCUGCCAAGAGCCCGGGAGAGGAGGGCAGAGGGCACAGCACUCCUUCUUCAUAGACAGCAGGGACAAAGGUGGAGGGUGACUACGUCACUCUCGAUUCCCCGCCUUUCUGGGAAGGCCUCAUCAUGAAACAUUUUCGGCAUCAUAAUACUGGCUUAUAAAUGUUCGUAUACCCAAUUCCCAAACCAUUGAUUAAUUUAUUAAAGCUAUGAUUUACGUAAGGAUGAGCAUUUAAUUAGAGAAGAGCUUCUACCAUUUCACCAACCCAGGCAGUGGGGAAGGGGUGGAAAGGGGCGGCUGCUGUCCCAGGGGCAGUCCUUGGUGUCCUCCUGGUCCAGGCUUUCUUCCCUCCCUUCACUGGCCUCCAGAGCCAGGUGCUGCGCUGCCUGCACUAGAAGCCCUGCCCUAGGCUGUGCUGAGCAUGCGCACACACCCCCCACAGCAGGGCUCCCGCGUCAGUGGCCUCACUCCACCCUGCUCUCCCAGCGAGCCUGCUGUCCAUAGUCUGGCAGGUCUCCUCUUCACGUUCAGUGACACAACUGCUCGGCGCAUUAUAGAGGCCUCUGAAAGGCUAUGUGUUCACGAUCCUCCCAUGGAGGGGCUCAGAGGAGCGGCCUAAGAGGAGAUGCCUGCACUGUGCAGGAAAGAGGGGCUCCCUGCAGAGCCAGUGCCGUUGGUGGGGCUCAGGCUCCCAGGGUAGGGGCAGGAGUGGUCUCCACAGUGCACAUUUGCACGUAUGUUAGGACGAGGCUAUGGGGCACAGAGGGGCCAUUUGCCCUGCCUGGAGACUGGUCUAGGGUUGCAGGGCCCACAUGUACUGCAUGCCCCCAAAAGGGUCAGGGGAAGGCUUCCUCCAUCCCCUUGGGGCCACAGCCUCCUACUUGCCUAGGGAAACAUGGCUCUUGGAGGCCCAGGGAGGCCACUACCCUGCUGAGCAGGCAGGCCCCAAACUAAGGUGGAGACCACAGCGAUCGCAGCAGGGCAGCAGAAGCUGGUCUCAGGCUGGUGGGUGAAAGCUGAGGUUACUGGCAGUUGCCAUGGCAUGGUGAGAUUGCCAGGAUGAGGGCCCACUUGAAGAACAUGCCUGCACUGCCCUAGAGCUGCAUCUUCCUGGCAGCAGAAUGUCAGGGGAACCAGGCCUCCCCGCUUCAAGUGGGACAAAUGUAUGAGCCUGGGGGGCAGGUGGGGAGGGCCCUGCAGGGUGCCUGGGCAGCCUGUGGAGGAACAGCGGGGAUUCCCUUCGCACCGGGUGUAGCCAGCUGCACGGCAUUAACAGCCACUUGUCCUUCAGAACUUUGCUCUUCAGGUGGGGUCUGGGGUGAGGAAACCCAGUAACCCAGGAUUUGCACAAGGAAAGUAGCUUCCUGUGGCUUGGCUUCUUACGAGUGUCUAAAAGAACCGUCCUGGUACCGCUAGGCCACAAAAUGUUCAGAAAACACUGCAAGAGACACUGGGACACUCUAAAGCCAGGCCCAGAGAAGGAAUGCCGAGGAGAGAGAGGAGGAAUGCCAAAGAGAGGCCCAGCGGGAAGGGGUUCUGCCCAGCACCCUCUGCCUGGUCCCGGGCUCCCUGUGCAGGGAGCUAUGCCAGUGUGCUGAGGGUGUUCGAUGAGGACAGCAGCUCACAAUUGCAGAAGCCACGGACUCCUGGAGAAAUGGACCACGCACCUUCUCCCCAGCAAAGUGUCCUCUCUCCAAAGAGCUUUGAAUCUCAGAGAAUCUGAAGGCCCCCACCACGUGGGGCCCAUCCAGAGCCCUGGCCCAGAGCAGCAGAGGACAGGCUUAUACCCCUGCUCUGGAGUUGUGAAACCGUGGCACCCUGGAGUUGUGAAAUGCCAUCUCAAACUCGGCCAAUGGCCCUUCCAUCCCUGUCCCAGCUCCUACACUAGCUCUUUCCAUUAUAAGGAGGCCGGGAAGUAAUCCAGCUUCACCUGGUAAGUUCGACCUGUGAAAUGUGGGAAGACACAAGUCAGACACAACACCUUCUGUCCACACCGCUGGCACAAGGCUUCCAGUUGGGCAGAGCUGCUAGGGGGCACGGGGACAGAGGUGGAGCUCCUCCAUCCAGCCCCCAAAGGAGCCUGGGCAUGACCGUGGGUACUCAGAGCAGGCUGCCUCCUGAGGGACCAGAAGUCAAGCGUGCGACGGGCUGCGGGGCGGAGAGGCCACUCUGCCUCCAGGGACACACACUCUCCCAGGCCCACUUCCCUGUGGCCAAGGAGGAAAGCCGAGCAGGCACCUUUGAGUUGCACACAACGGACACACAGCACAGAGCCCACCCAGCCUGAGUAUUUACCAUCCGCCUUUCAUGGAAAUGCCGGCACCUGCUCCAGAGGAUACAGGAAUGACAGGGAUGGAGGACGGGAGGGACUCCCAGCCUGCGGGGAGGCUCCUGCAUGUGCCCAGCAGACUUUCAGCAGGGCUGGGCUGCAGGAGUGCCCAGCAUUUCCCAUUUCAGCUCCACUGGAAAGUGCGGCUGGUUCAAGUUGUUGCGAACUGAUCCCACCCAUGUAUACUGGGGUGGGAGGGCAGUGGGCAGCUUCUCGGCUCAGGUUUCCAGAGCACGAGGGGGCAGAUCCAGAGCGAGAGUAACUCACCGUAUUAAGAGUCUGGGCAUUAAGCCUGGUGCCAUGAAGGGACCAGACUUUGGGGCCAUCUUCCUUGGGUAGGGUUUAUUUUGCAUGGGGAAAGCUGGGAAGCAAAUAUUUGUGACCAGAAGGGCAAAUGAUGGUGACUGAAUUACUGCUCAUGCAUAUUCACUGCCUGUCCCUGGGAGAGGCCUACACUUCCCACCCCCUGAAGUCUUGGCCAGUUGGCGUCUCUUGUGGGAAGAAUAACUCCCGUCCUGCGGGUGGUUGUCUGUGCUCUCACUGCUCUGCUCCAACACCAACGACACUCCAGAUGGGGACUGCACUAGUUGCUUGGGAAGGGGUUGAAGACAAGAGCCACAGCUGACACAGGUGAACAGGAAAUAAACUUGUCUAUGUAUCAGCCACUGGCAUCUGAGGACCUUUCAUUACUACAGCCUCCCCAAGCCCCUCAGAGCUGCUCUGCCUCCUUCCCAGACAGCAGCACCAGCAGCACAAAGUCUCAGCCCACUUUCCUGGCCAGGUU